This is a long non-coding RNA of Diceros bicornis minor, 513 nucleotides long. RefSeq lists it as uncharacterized. The transcript has 4 exons. Lineage: Eukaryota; Metazoa; Chordata; Mammalia; Perissodactyla; Rhinocerotidae. The record is from RefSeq and is a predicted model, not a curated record.
AGAAACUGAGGCAUGAAGAGCUUAAGUAAAUAUACUGGACAAGAUCUCAAUUCACUUAGUAAGUGAUGAAGCCAAGAUUCAAAUCAGGAAGUCUGAGUCCAAAGCCUCUGCCCUUCGCCACUUUUCUACCUGGUUCUUGAGGUCAAUGGAGCGAGAGACACUGGAAGCUGGGAAGCUCUUGAGACUCUGUUACUGUCAUCUAGGCUUCCAGACACCGACAUCCGGGUCAUACAGAGAUGCUGGCCCCAGCCCAUGGUCAGCCACCUAAGUGGGAGCAUAAAGGAAACGACCAGCUCCAGGCUCCAGCAGAGACUCGUCUAUACCUCUAAUGUGAGUUAGGAGUAACCAAUCAAACCACAGCCCCAAGUGAAGCAGCAGAAAGGGAAUGGAGAAGAGUACAGAAGAUAAGGCAUUGAGGAGCCCAGCCUGGUUGAGAGAUGAGAUCAAUAUGCCUGAAACAGGGAACAACAAAAUACACAGACGAGAAUGCUAAUGGGUACGGAGUUUCUAUUG